RNAcentral lists this non-coding RNA (30 nucleotides) under Mus musculus (house mouse). Lineage: Eukaryota; Metazoa; Chordata; Mammalia; Rodentia; Muridae. The record is from RNAcentral.
UAAUAUAAGCUUGCCAAAGUCUCUGGGUGU